This 1308-nucleotide long non-coding RNA is filed under the name Felis catus (domestic cat). RNAcentral describes it as "lncRNA (ENSFCAG00000052207.1)". The record is from RNAcentral. Lineage: Eukaryota; Metazoa; Chordata; Mammalia; Carnivora; Felidae.
CCUGUUUCUCUGCCAGCAGGUUUCUCAACGAAAGGUGGAACGUCUGAUUUACGUGACCUCAGACCCAACUCCGAUGAAGCGGGAAGCGUUUGCUACGUGGCCGUGGAAUCUGGAAGUGGCUUCCAGGAAUAGCCAGCCAGGGUGGCCAGGGAGGGCCACCCACAUACCAGAAGAGAGGACCGUGGGAGAGAGAGGCCCUGAAAGGAGCCGGUCAGCCGUGAUGGCUGUGCAGCCGGUGGUGACUCAGUCGGGUCAGCCGGACGGGUGUCAGCAGCGGGGAGGCAGGAGAUCUUGACUGCCUAAGAGAGCUUGAAUGCCUCGCUUCUAUGGGGUGCUCACUGCAGGGCAAAAGAAUGGGGGGAGGAUUCCGUACACAAUCAUUAGCGGAGAGCUUGAGGCUGUGCACCGAGAGGCGACACAACGUCCGCCAGCGGACAGAGAUGGCGGCUGCUUUGGGUGGACGUGGUCUGCACCGAGGAAGGUCUGAGCUCUGGCUCCGCGUGCUCUUACAAACUGGGCAGGCUCGUGACUGGAAGGGAUGGAACAGAAGCUGUGCGCCCACCGUCAGCCGCUGGGACGAGGCUGCACGCUUUUGGUCGUGUUGAGCUCACCUUAUGAAGUGUCUCGUGGUGGAAACGAAAUCGCCCGCAAAAUCCGAAGGCUCCCACGAUGCAACUGUUGGCAGUCCCUAUCUUUUCAGGCUCUUCUUCGAGCACAGAGAGGCCAACAUCCGGGGAGGAAGCGGGCCUGCAGAAUGCUCCAGCCGGGCUGGCCUGAAACGCUGACCCCGCUCACCCUGUACGGGAGACCUUGUCCGAUGAACCCCCCGGGGUCCUGGCCUUGCCGCCUGGCAAAAAUACGUGCCCCCACCGCCUCGUGCGCCACUCGGUCUGGUUUCACCACCCUCCCGACACACCGUGUGUCUGUGUUGCCUUCCUGGCUCUGCUCGGGCUUGGGGAAUGUUCUGGGUCAGCUUCAUGAAGGACCACGGGAUCCCGUGCUCAGAAGGGCCCUGUACUUGCUUUAAUGACCAGUUGUCAACAUGUUGAAAUUCUUAAUAGUUUUGAACAAGGUGACUAAUUUUUUUUUAAUGUUUUAUUUAUUUUUGAGAGAGAGAGAGAGAGAGAGAGAGAGAGAGACAGAGCAUGAGCGGAGGAGGGGCAGAGGGAGAGGGAGACACAGAAUCCGAAGCAGGCUCCAGGCUCCGAGCCAUCAGCACAGAGCCCGACGCGGGGCUCCAACUCACGAACCGCGAGAUCAUGACCUGAGCCAAAGCCGGACGCUUAACCCACUGAGCCACCCAGGUGC